Molecule: long non-coding RNA, 301 nt
Organism: Orbicella faveolata
Lineage: Eukaryota; Metazoa; Cnidaria; Anthozoa; Scleractinia; Merulinidae
Source: RefSeq, a predicted model, not a curated record
UUUAUUAAAGCUGUAAGCGUUGAAAACAAAGGAGACUCUCCAACAACCAACGGCAGUUCUGCGUCUUCGAAAGAGAGGUUUUCCUUUAAAUAGCACAAUGAUGUUGCCUUUCAUAUUCCUGGCCUUAAUUCAGGCAACACAUGCUAAAAGUGCGAGUACAAAGUUUACAGUCUCAGGAGGCGGUUCAUUAGUCUCUGGAAAAUUGUCCAUGGACAUUCAUGUGGAAGCUAACAACGUACAGGUCCCCAGUUCGAUGACCAUCCCCACCAGCUCGAGUGGACCUGCGGCCGGAUCAACCCCA